CAGCAGCCGCGGGAAUACGAAGGGGGCUAGCGUUGCUCGGAAUGACUGGGCGUAAAGCGUGCGCAGGCGGUUUGGCAAGUCUAGUGUGAAAUCCCCGAGCUUAACCUGGGAACUGCAUUUGAAACUGGCAAGCUAGAGUCUUGUAGAGGGGGGGUGGAAUUCCAGGUGUAGCGGUGAAAUGCGUAGAGAUCUGGAGGAAUACCGGUGGCGAAGGCGGCCCCCUGGACAAAGACUGACGCUCAGCUGCGAAAGCGUGGGGAGCAAACAGGAUUAGAUACCCGUGUAGUCCCUGUCUCUUAUU
Molecule: ribosomal RNA, 301 nt
Filed under: uncultured bacterium
Lineage: Bacteria
Description: partial 16S ribosomal RNA
Rfam family: Bacterial small subunit ribosomal RNA
Source: RNAcentral